Molecule: ribosomal RNA, 250 nt
Filed under: uncultured bacterium
Lineage: Bacteria
Description: partial 16S ribosomal RNA
Rfam family: Bacterial small subunit ribosomal RNA
Source: RNAcentral
UACGUAGGGUGCAAGCGUUAAUCGGAAUUACUGGGCGUAAAGCGUGCGCAGGCGGUUGUGCAAGUCUGAUGUGAAAGCCCCGGGCUCAACCUGGGAACGGCAUUGGAGACUGCACGGCUAGAGUGCGUCAGAGGGGGGUAGAAUUCCACGUGUAGCAGUGAAAUGCGUAGAGAUGUGGAGGAAUACCGAUGGCGAAGGCAGCCCCCUGGGCUGACACUGACGCUCAGGCACGAAAGCGUGGGGAGCAAAC